RNAcentral lists this ribosomal RNA (429 nucleotides) under Gemmatimonadota bacterium. RNAcentral's name for it is "Gemmatimonadetes bacterium partial 16S ribosomal RNA". It matches the Rfam family "Bacterial small subunit ribosomal RNA", at positions 355 to 776 of the family's 1533-position model. Lineage: Bacteria; Pseudomonadati; Gemmatimonadota. The record is from RNAcentral.
UAGGGAAUCUUCGGCAAUGGACGAAAGUCUGACCGAGCAACGCCGCGUGAGUGAAGAAGGUUUUCGGAUCGUAAAACUCUGUUGUUAGAGAAGAACAAGGACGUUAGUAACUGAACGUCGCCUGACGGUAUCUAACCAGAAAGCCACGGCUAACUACGUGCCAGCAGCCGCGGUAAUACGUAGGUGGCAAGCGUUGUCCGGAUUUAUUGGGCGUAAAGCGAGCGCAGGCGGUUUCUUAAGUCUGAUGUGAAAGCCCCCGGCUCAACCGGGGAGGGUCAUUGGAAACUGGGAGACUUGAGUGCAGAAGAGGAGAGUGGAAUUCCAUGUGUAGCGGUGAAAUGCGUAGAUAUAUGGAGGAACACCAGUGGAGAAGGCGGCUCUCUGGUCUGUAACUGACGCUGAGGCUCGAAAGCGUGGGGAGCAAACAGG